UACGUAGGGGGCAAGCGUUGUCCGGAUUUAUUGGGCGUAAAGAGCGUGUAGGCGGCCAUACAGGUCAGCUGUGAAAACUCGAGGCUCAACCUCGAGACGUCGGUUGAAACCGUAUGGCUAGAGUCCGGAAGAGGAGAGUGGAAUUCCCGGUGUAGCGGUGAAAUGCGCAGAUAUCGGGAGGAACACCAGCGGCGAAGGCGGCGCUCUGGGCUGGCACUGACGCUGAGGAGCGAAAGCGUGGGGAGCGAACAGG
RNAcentral lists this ribosomal RNA (253 nucleotides) under uncultured bacterium. RNAcentral describes it as "partial 16S ribosomal RNA". It matches the Rfam family "Bacterial small subunit ribosomal RNA", at positions 524 to 776 of the family's 1533-position model. The record is from RNAcentral.